AGUGAACGCUGGCGGUAGGCCUAACACAUGCAAGUCGAACGGCAGCACAGUAAGAGCUUGCUCUUACGGGUGGCGAGUGGCGGACGGGUGAGGAAUACAUCGGAAUCUACUUUUUCGUGGGGGAUAACGUAGGGAAACUUACGCUAAUACCGCAUACGACCUACGGGUGAAAGCAGGGGAUCUUCGGACCUUGCGCGAUUGAAUGAGCCGAUGUCGGAUUAGCUAGUUGGCGGGGUAAAGGCCCACCAAGGCGACGAUCCGCAGCUGGUCUGAGAGGAUGAUCAGCCACACUGGAACUGAGACACGGUCCAGACGCCUACGGGAGGCAGCAGUGGGGAAUAUUGGACAAUGGGCGCAAGCCUGAUCCAGCCAUACCGCGUGGGUGAAGAAGGCCUUCGGGUUGUAAAGCCCUUUUGUUGGGAAAGAAAAGCAGCAGGUUAAUACCCCGCUGUUCUGACGGUACCCAAAGAAUAAGCACCGGCUAACUUCGUG
Molecule: ribosomal RNA, 492 nt
Filed under: uncultured bacterium
Lineage: Bacteria
Description: partial 16S ribosomal RNA
Rfam family: Bacterial small subunit ribosomal RNA
Source: RNAcentral